RNAcentral lists this ribosomal RNA (88 nucleotides) under Ipomoea nil (Japanese morning glory). The record is from RNAcentral. Lineage: Eukaryota; Viridiplantae; Streptophyta; Magnoliopsida; Solanales; Convolvulaceae.
CAUAAUCAUCAUCCCAGCACAACUGCGCCGGAUCCCAUCAGAACUCCGAAGUUAAGCGUGCUUGGGCGAGAGUGGUGCCUGGCUGGGC